UUUAGAAAAAGAAAAAAAGGAUUAUAUAUGUAUAUAUUAUAUAUAUUUACAUUUACAUUUUGGGAGGAAAGAAGAAAAAAAAAAAAAAAUUCUCUCUCCUUCCUUGCUUCACGCGAAAAAGAGGUCCCACAGCCCUUUUUUUUUUUUUUUCGUUUUCGUGAGUUGCCGCCGCUUGAACCCAUCCUCCAUUCUUUUUCUCGUUCCGUCUCCCUCCCUCUUCGGUGUGAGACGCCGCCGCCUAGCCUACCUCACGCCAGCCGCUGAGAGCAACUCGUGCGUCGCCAGACCUGUUCACGCCGAGCCUCGUCGUCGGACGUCUCAGCUUCUUCACGCCGCCAUGUCUCUCCCUGGUUUCACGAGCGCCGUCGGACCUGAGCUGCGCCGCCGUUCCCUCAUAUCUGUCGUCCGUCGGUCACCGUCGCCUCGCCGGAAACUUGGAAUCUUGGGUUGGUGACUUCAUGCUUGGCUUGGAAGCGAUUUUGGAGCAAGUCACUGAUUGGGGAAGAUCCCAAGAAUUUUACUCAAGACAAAAAGGACUUAUGCCAAUGUAUUAUAGUCGAACAUGGAUGGGAGACAUUAUGUCAAUGCCCAUCCAUCAUCAUUCAAAGUAUUGUACGUACGUGCUAUCAAGGUCGCCUACAUGAGGAUGAAGAUGCGGUAAUCAUAAAUGAUCGAGUGGUAUCGUUUAGCAUUCGCGACAUCAACGAGCUCUUCAAGUUAAAAGACAUUCUUGAUGUGUUGGGCAAUCAACUAAUUGAAGAAUGAGCCAGAUGAUGAGCAUUUGAAGGAGAUAUUAAAGGUCUUGACGCAAACUGACUCUCAAUGGAAAGUAUCUAUCACGGGCCUUAGGACAUUGGCUUCAAAUCAUCUCCUAUCGGAGGCGUGUUUAUGGGUUUAUUUGGUCAAGAAGUGGAUUAGGGACCGCGUAAUGGCUGCCUUUACAUUGCAAGAGGCAUCUCCAUAAUCGCAAAGAAAAUCAAGGGGACCUUUGCAAACCUUGCAACCAACUCUUUUUCCCCUGAAAUAUCACUAGCCUUUUCCCAUCGGCAGGUUUUGGCAUUGACGAAGAGCCUAUGACCGAAGUACACAGGCUAAUCAACAACAAAAUCCUGAUGAUAAUUCUGAAGGAUUCACUGCAUUGCCCAUGCGGCUCGUUGAACCCAAGCGGCCCAUCAUUGACCUAAAUGCCCCUCAACCGCCAAGAGCCAACUUCCACCAAAGACAAAAAAAUUUGCUAGAGAGAGCCCAGAGCGUCAUGACCAUAAAGAGUGCAUGCCCAAUCCUUCUCCAUUAGAAAUCCUCCCUUCAAGUCCUUUUGAGUCUUUAUCUUCUUUGCCUGAGAACCUGACCAACCUUCUUCUUUUGACUGAGUAAAUUCAUCAGUCCACCCCAAUCUCCCCACAACUCCCCAAGCCAAUCACCAUAUAAGCAUCUUUCCCCAUCCACCACAGAAAAAUCACCUCCUCCUCCACCCAAAUUCCAUGACCCACAUGGCUUGGGCAUUGGCCCUUUUAACCAGCUCCAAUCCGAAAUUUGAUUUGUGAGACUUUGGGUGUUUUGCCGCAACCUUCCCAACCACAACCACUCUUCCCCUUCAGCCUUGAUGAGCUUAAAACUUUCAUCUCUGAAGAACUUCCAACUCAGUUUGUGCCCCUCCGUCAAUCUUUCUUAGAACUGCACUAGGACAUAGAAAUCAUACGGCAAUCUCUUGUCAAUGUAUAGCGCAACAUCCUCACCCUUUGCCAAAAUCAACGCAUGCAGGCAAAAAGGAAUCACAAGUACUUCAACUUUUGACCGUCUACCUGCAUGGCCUAACUGUCCAUCCUCAUCUUCGCUAGCCUUAACGAUUUUCUGAUUCGCAAGGCGCUGCCCCUCUGGCCCUACAAUGUGAUGAUCCUCCAUAGCAGCCAUAAAUUUGGUGGUGAUGUAUUUAAAGUUGCAAUUUUUUUCUCUAUCAUUUGUAUUUUCACUUGCGAUAUAUCCUUUCAGUCCUUGUACUUUAGCGCUCUGGUAAUAUUGAAUGAAUCCUUAUAAUUUUUGCACC
Molecule: long non-coding RNA, 2044 nt
Organism: Benincasa hispida (wax gourd)
Lineage: Eukaryota; Viridiplantae; Streptophyta; Magnoliopsida; Cucurbitales; Cucurbitaceae
Source: RefSeq, a predicted model, not a curated record